Molecule: small nuclear RNA, 24 nt
Filed under: Arabidopsis thaliana (thale cress)
Lineage: Eukaryota; Viridiplantae; Streptophyta; Magnoliopsida; Brassicales; Brassicaceae
Description: snRNA_12836
Source: RNAcentral
ACUUCUCUCAACGGUGAUGACAAU